RNAcentral lists this ribosomal RNA (440 nucleotides) under uncultured bacterium. Its description in RNAcentral is "partial 16S ribosomal RNA". It matches the Rfam family "Bacterial small subunit ribosomal RNA", at positions 338 to 795 of the family's 1533-position model. The record is from RNAcentral.
CCUACGGGAGGCAGCAGUGGGGAAUAUUGCACAAUGGGGGAAACCCUGAUGCAGCGACGCCGCGUGAGUGAAGAAGUAUUUCGGUAUGUAAAGCUCUAUCAGCAGGGAAGAAAAUGACGGUACCUGAUUAAGAAGCCCCGGCUAACUACGUGCCAGCAGCCGCGGUAAUACGUAGGGGGCAAGCGUUAUCCGGAUUUACUGGGUGUAAAGGGAGCGUAGACGGCAGUACAAGUCUGGAGUGAAAUGCCGGGGCUUAACCCCGGAACUGCUUUGGAAACUGUGAAGCUAGAGUGCAGGAGAGGUAAGUGGAAUUCCUAGUGUAGCGGUGGAAUGCGUAGAUAUUAGGAGGAACACCAGUGGCGAAGGCGGCUUACUGGACUGUAACUGACGUUGAGGCUCGAAAGCGUGGGGAGCAAACAGGAUUAGAUACCCUGGUAGUC